RNAcentral lists this long non-coding RNA (239 nucleotides) under Capsella grandiflora. RNAcentral describes it as "long non-coding RNA (CGRA_LNC001646)". Lineage: Eukaryota; Viridiplantae; Streptophyta; Magnoliopsida; Brassicales; Brassicaceae. The record is from RNAcentral.
ACCAUGAUUUUAUGAAUAGAUGCAAGGUCCAUUUUCGAGCAAGCCUCUCCUAAAGGCGAAAGAGGAGUUGGCGAAAGGUGAGUUGGCGAAAGGUGAGUUGGCGAAUGAUGAGUUGGAGAAAGAUGAGUUGAUGAAAGAUGACUUGGUGACUGAUGAGUUGAUGAAAAAUGAGUUGGAGAAAGAUGGGUUGACGAAAGAUGACUUGGUGACUGCUGAGUUGGCGAAUGAUGAGUUGACGA